Myotis lucifugus (little brown bat) is the source of this 345-nucleotide unclassified non-coding RNA. Its record names the gene 7SK. It matches the Rfam family "7SK RNA". Rfam says of the family: 7SK was discovered as an abundant small nuclear RNA in the mid-70s but a possible function has only recently been suggested. Two independent studies have found that 7SK RNA binds the CDK9/cyclin T complex (known as elongation factor P-TEFb). P-TEFb activates transcription by phosphorylating the C-terminal domain of RNA polymerase II. Lineage: Eukaryota; Metazoa; Chordata; Mammalia; Chiroptera; Vespertilionidae. The record is from Ensembl.
GGAUGUGAGGGCGAUCUGGCUGCGACAUCUGUCACCCCAUUGAUCGCCAGGGUUGAUUCUGCUGAUCUGGCUGGCUAGGCGGGUGUCCCCCUCCUCCCUCACCGAUCCAUGUGCGUCCCUCCCGAAGCUGCGCGCUCGGUCGAAGAGGACGACCUUCCGCCCCCCGCCCCCCUCCCCAGGAGAGGACCGGUCUUCCGUCAAGGGUAUAGGAGUAGCUGCGCUCCCCUGCUAGAACCUCCAAACAAGCUCUCAAGGUCCAUUUGUAGGAGAACGUAGGGUAGUCAAGCUUCCAAGACUCCAGACACAUCCAAAUGAGGCGCUGCACGUGGCAGUCUGCCUUCCUUA